Non-coding RNA from Gasterosteus aculeatus aculeatus (three-spined stickleback), 2064 nucleotides. Lineage: Eukaryota; Metazoa; Chordata; Actinopteri; Perciformes; Gasterosteidae. The record is from RefSeq and is a predicted model, not a curated record.
AGAGAGAGAGAGAGAGAGAGGGAGGGAGAGAGAGAGAGAGAGGGGUUGUGAAGGGGAGGGAUCCUGUGUGGUUGAGAGACAGUCAGAGCGAGAGCAAAGAGGGAAUGAAUGUCGUUCCAUGAGAAAGUGGACCGGUAUGAAUAGUUCUGAGGUCGGAGUUGAAAGAUUACAGAAACAGAAGCAUUUCCCUCUGAUGCUUCAUGCCCACAUUUAACAACAGAGCAGCCUCUAGUGGAAAAGAGCAGGAAAACACCACCCACCGACACCAGAACGAGGAGCGGGUGGAUGAGGGAGGCCUCAUCUGAGGUAAGCUGCCCUAAAAUGUACGGAAUUCAUUUAUAACAUUUAUACGAAUGAUAUUGUAAUUUCAGUCUCAUAAUGACAUAAAAUACUUCAUAAUUUUUAGGAAAUACCUUGACAAACGAUCUUGUGAUUACGGGAUCCGGAUUUAUGAGAUUCUGAUCUCAUUAUUGUUACAAAACGUAUUGUUUUAAAUGAAUAGUUUUGUUCUUUCCCGACCGGAAGACAACAAGCUGCGACCUGAUCCUGAUCCUCCAAGUCCGACAUUGGUUUCUACAUUCCUUCUUUUGCCACACCGUUGUGCCGCUCAUGCGCUGGCGUGAAAGACGCUGAGCGAGGUGCAGGCCGGUUGUCUUCAACAAAGGGAAAGCAGCAGCGCGGCUCGGUCACCCGUGUCUCCCUCUGAACGCAGGGCGAGCAGCGGCGACGCGUUGCUCUUUGAAUAAACCAAAGCAGAUUGUCCUUGCAAAUAUUUGUGCCAAUGGACAAAUGGUUGAGUGCUUAAACAAUUUGGUCUCACUCAAGAUCUCACUCAAUACUGGCAUUAUAGAUAUGUACCGUGUAUCGGAUACAACAUUUGAUAGUCUAAUAAGAUAAACAUUUAAGAUAAGUAAUGCCUUUUCCUAUUCUGCUACUGUCAAUCAUGAUGGUCUCUAGCAAACAAGAGCCUUAAACCCAUUGAGUCACUUCAUAAACACACAGUAUCAUCAAUGUCAUAUACUUCUUGUUGUACAUUUUUCAUCUGUAUUUGUAUUCAGGUGUCCACUAAAUGCAUUAAAUCCCUCCAACUGCAAUGGAAAAAGAGGCUUAGUCAUCUUAAGACACAGUGACAUUGUGGGACACGCUGCACCCCCUCCGGAGCUGUACAACAUAAAAGCUCAGACACGUCGAAUGUCCGCAAGCACUGAGCCUUGCAAUCCCCUCCACGGUACCCUCGGCCUUCAAUGUUUACAUUUUGAACAGACACACUCACAUUACUGAAACUGUUUCUGAGAGUUACAGUAAACUCUGGAAAAGUAAUGUGUGUGUGAAUCUCUAAUUCGAGACCAUCAAACGUGAAAAAGGGAAGGUGGACCCUUCUGUCUACAUGUUUCUGAAGGUGAAUUAGAAUUUUUGUGGAUGUUCUUGGAAUGUUUAAUGUGCGUUUGUUGCCAUUAUUGAUUGUUACGUGCCUACAUGUGACCAUGUAUGAAUUCACGAGAAGAGACGGAAGAGACAUAUGCAUAAAAAACGGUUUUACGAUAAUACACAAUGUUGCACAGCUGGCACUAAGUGUGAUAUAUAUUUAACUCACCCACGAGGAAAUACAUCGUGCCCUUGAAACAUCAAACAAACACUCGCCUCAUAUUAAUCUACUCAGUCAAGCCCUGUGUGUUCUUUCUCUCUAAGGUCAAGUAUGGUUUAAUUGAUCAUUCGAAUUUUCCUUUCAAAUUGUUAUCCAGGUAAAUGUUUAAUUUGCAUUCCGACCAAGGGCCAAACAUGACCCAACAAUGUCUCAGAAAUCUAAAACUAGAGCAGAGCUGUACUCUUUACCAUCAACAGCAACGGCCAACACGGCAGAUCUCAAUUGAAGUCCAGAUUAAUGUUUUAGCCGAGCAGGAAAUAUCCCGUUACAAGCUGCAGGACAAUUGAGCUGCCUUGUAAAAGCUGCUGUCUCUGACGGAAGCUCUGGGAAAACUCAUUCACCUGUAGGAAAUGAAGCACUAAAACGGAGCUUCUAAAAUCCAACUCUUUCCGCUGACCUUUGCUUGUCAACUAAAUCCA